Long non-coding RNA from Macaca fascicularis (crab-eating macaque), 1777 nucleotides. Lineage: Eukaryota; Metazoa; Chordata; Mammalia; Primates; Cercopithecidae. The record is from Ensembl.
AUGUGAAUAAGAUAGUGUCUGUUACAACACAGUGCCUGGAAAACCUAGACUAUGCUGUGUAGUGCAGGAGUCAUGAGACACACUGGCUAUUUAGACUUGAAUUUGAUUUAAUUUAUAGUUAAUCAAAUUUAAACUUUAUUUUCUCAAUCACACUAGUCACAUCUCAAUAGCCACACCUGCCUGGUAGUUAGUGCAUUGUAAAGAGCAAACAAAGAACAUUCCAGGCAUUCAUUUGUACAGUGCAGACUUGACCCUGUUAGCUUGGUCCAGUGUUUUAUUUUAGAUGGAGUAGAAUUUUUCUUAUUAAAAGGCACAAACACUUCUCUUAUGCCCAUCUUUUCAAAUUUUAAGUAGUCAUGCACCUACUGAAAUGAUUUGUACGAUAAACUCUCCUUGAUAUGCCUUCUCCUGAGAGAUACUUUAAGCAACGUGCACUGUGUUUCCUUUUAUUUGAAAAUAUUAUCUGCUGCUUUGGUGGUAUUAAACCAUGAUAUUCAAAUGAAGGAUGCUGAUUAUUACAUUAUGCAUAAAAGAACACAAAAUCUAGAGUAUUGCGAGAAACGUAAUUUAUGUAAAAACAUGCAGACAAUUACAUUCAAGUAUUUGAUGUAAGUAAUGAGAGAAUCACACAUAAUGGGCAUUUUUUAUUAAACUGGGAUUUAGUUGAUUUGUCUUAUGAAUGAAGUUACUCAAGUAAAUUGGAUUGUGAGCCAAGAAAUAAAAAAAAGAAUAAAAUAAAAAGAUGAAAAUUUCAGAAGCUUGGCACAUAAAUAUCAGAAUAAGCAAAUUGACUUAGCUCUAGAUAUUCUACCAGUUUAUCUGCAUUGGAAAAAAAUAGGCAAUUUUCGGGUUUGACUUAGUGAAAUCUAGUGGGAACCUUCCUCUAAGGAAUUGUAUAGUAUUUGGCAAUGUAUCACUCCAUAUCCAGUAGUUAUUCAACAUUUGUUAAGUGCCAGCUAACGAAAUGGUAGAGUACAAAGAUUGAUCACGCAUGCAUCUGUUCUUAUGUAUUUCUUAGUUCAGGAGUGCAGAUAAGUCAUGCAUAAAUUGAUUGUAUUACAAAGUAAAAAGUGAUCAGUAGGGUAAAAUGUUCAUAAUAAAUACCAUAAGAAAUUGGAGAGAAAAUAAUUCAAGGAAGGCAAGGAGUUGUUUUCACAACUGUAAUCCUUACAUCUGGAAAACAGCCUGGCAUAGGGUUGCUUACAGUAAAUGCCAGGUGAAUGAAUGAGUUAGCAAAACUGCACGGACAAGUGAACAGUUGAGCUGGACCUUAGAGGAUAGGUUUGACACAGGUCUGUGAUGGUGAUGGAUGUUUGAUCCAGAGGAAGCUAACAGCAUGGGCACUAAGCAGGAGUGUGGAAACCUCAGCUUUCUGUGCAGAAGGGCAGGUAGUACAGCUGGACUCUUGUAGGCACCAUGGAGCAGGGAGCAGUGACAGAUGAGGAUGGAGAGAUCGGUGCAUUCCGCAUAUGGAAGGUCAUUAUCCCAUGCUAAAGGUGUGAACUUACAAUCUCAGUUCCUCAUCUGCAACCCUGGGAUAAUGACAUUUGCCUAGCACAGCUUGUGCAGGCAUUGGAAUAAGUGAAUGGGAAAAGUGAUUUGAAUGCACUUUGUGGGGGUGGGAAGGAGUAAAAAUGCUAUAGGAAUUCAUGCUUAGGUUAUAAAUGAGAAAAGAUCAUGAUGAAAACAUUUGUCAUCCCCAAACAGAAUCAUUUGAAAUUCUAUGUCCCUUGGCUACCUCUUUCUAAACAGUAUUAAUUUAGAAAAAAAAAAAAAA